RNAcentral lists this unclassified non-coding RNA (1274 nucleotides) under Hevea brasiliensis (rubber tree). Lineage: Eukaryota; Viridiplantae; Streptophyta; Magnoliopsida; Malpighiales; Euphorbiaceae. The record is from RNAcentral.
CUGAAUCAACAACGAUUAGUGCCCCUUUAGCCACAUUUGUGCGUGUGUUGAUCCACAAUCAUACAUCACUUCAAGUUAUUGGUACCUUAAAAGAUUCAGAAGUAUCUCCGUCUUGAAGACAUACACUCCCAUUGAAGCAAUGUAUGGUUUCUUUCCCGCCUCAUCCUUUGAAAGCCCCAGCACUGUUGUGUCAACUCCCAUCGCUCUUAUGUCAUCCCCUUUAGGUUUCUCACUGAAGAAAAGGACUCUCCCCUUGCUGUCUAUCUUCAUGAGACCAAAAUCUGAGGCUCGACUGUCAUCCAUUGGCAAACAAGAAACGGUGAUAUCUGCACCACUCUGCCUAUGAUUCUGAACAAAGUCCAAAUAAUCCAUUCGAUACAAGUGAUCUCCAGAUAAUAUCAGCACAUCCUCAAUCUCUUUGCUUCUUGCAUCCUCAAAAAGCCAAUGGAACUGUCUGACCGCAUCUGCAGUACCCUGGAACCACCUUUUGCCUUCCUCACCAGGAGUUUGAGUGGCUGCCAGAACCUCAACGCAGCCGUCUCCAAAAUUGAUACCAUUGCCGAAGUUAUAAGCACGAGCAAGAUGCCUGUUAAGUGAUGCUGAGUUAAACUGAGUGAGAAUGUAGACUUUGUUGAUUCCACUGUUGAUGCAGUUGCUCAUUGGUACAUCUAUCAGCCUGUAUGCACCUCCAAUUGGCACAGCAGGUUUGGCUCGGCGCUUGGUGAGAGGGAAAAGACGAGUACCAGCUCCUCCUCCCAAAAUAAUAGCCACAACUGUUCUUGGGUCCCUCUUUUCCAUGUCUAGGUCCCUCAACUUGGACUCGCCAGCUACGCUAGUAGCGAGAGACAUGGAAACAUGCCGCUUAAUAAUCUUACUGCUAGCUCUUUGAUGAUGAACUAGGCUUAGCUUGACCUUAUUUCCCAUUAACUCUCCAUUAGCAUAUUGCAAAAGUCUCGAGUUCCUCCCCGCUAAUCCAACCGCCCCAUGCAGCUGGCCGGCGGGCGAGAGGGAGAACCGGCAAUAUAACGGAAUUGAUGCCAUUGGUGGUUUGGUGCCACGUUAUCCAAAUUCAAUUGCAUCCACCAAUUUUUAUGUGUCAGUAUUUGUGCGCAAAUAAGGUAAUUCCUAAAAGGCCACUUGUUUUGCCACUAAUUACGAAUCAAGGAACAGUGUACGAGUUGCUUCCUCCCGCUGGCUGCUGCUUCAGGAUUUCUCAUUCUUCAUCCGCGAGAAAGCCACCAGGCUGAGAAAAUUACAUGGGGAGCUAGUAUGGC